Pantherophis guttatus is the source of this 219-nucleotide non-coding RNA. The record is from RefSeq and is a predicted model, not a curated record. Lineage: Eukaryota; Metazoa; Chordata; Lepidosauria; Squamata; Colubridae.
UCUUCACCUUCGCCCUCGCCGAAGAACUGGGGCGGCCCAGGAGGGCGGAGCUUUUAAACUGACAGACUCGGUCAUACGCUGGAUGGAGCGUCUCCCCACUCUGACUGACAUUUCCCCUAUGCUGAGAAAGGACGUAUGAGUUUUCACUCCCUGUACCUCGAAAUUUGAAACAUAAGAACAAUAAAAAAGGUCAUUUGGUGGCCUUUCUGUGCCUUUUCC